CGAGUGCUCCAAGCGUUACCCGGAAUCAUUGGGCGUAAAGGGUGUGUAGGCGGUCGUGCUAGUCUUCUGUCAAAUUCUUCGGCUUAACCGGGGGUCCGCAGGGGAAACGGCACAACUAGAGGAUGCGAGAGGUGAAUGGAACUCAUGGGAGUAGGGGUGAAAUCCGUUGAUAUCAUGGGGAACACCAAAAGCGAAGGCAAUUCACUGGCGCACUCCUGACGCUGAGACACGAAAGCGUAGGUAGCGAAUGGGAUUAGAUACCCCAGUAGUCUACGCCCUAAACGAUGAUCGCUGGUUUUCGAGUAUCGACCCUCUGAGAGACGAAGCUAACGCGUUAAGCGAUCCGCCUGGGUAGUACGGCCGCAAGGCUA
This 371-nucleotide ribosomal RNA is filed under the name uncultured organism. Its description in RNAcentral is "bacterial SSU rRNA". It matches the Rfam family "Bacterial small subunit ribosomal RNA", at positions 526 to 896 of the family's 1533-position model. The record is from RNAcentral.